CGUUAAAACCCAAAGGCGCAAUGAAAGUGAAGGGGGGCCUAGCGCCCCACCAGGGAGGAUUGGGCGGUCGUCGCUUCGCUUCGCUCCGCCCACGCACUCCCGGGGCGUCUCCAUCUCAUCGCGAGAGGAGGCGCACCUUGAGCGUACACGCUGUGACCCGAAAGAUGGUGAACUAUGCCUGGCCGGGACGAAGCCAGGGGAAACCCUGGUGGAGGUCCGUAGCGAUUCUGACGUGCAAAUCGAUCGUUAGAGCUUGGUAUAGGGGCGAAAGACCAAUCGAACUAUCUAGUAGCUGGUUCCCUCCGAAGUUUCCCUCAGGAUAGCUGGCGCUCAUGAGAUACGAGUCUCAACUGGUAAAGCGAAUGACUAGAGGAAUUGGGGUCGAAACGACCUCAACCUAUUCUCAAACUUUAAAUAGAUGAGAACCCUGGCUUGCUUA
RNAcentral lists this ribosomal RNA (439 nucleotides) under Mesovelia sp. 2117. RNAcentral's name for it is "eukaryotic LSU rRNA". It matches the Rfam family "Eukaryotic large subunit ribosomal RNA", at positions 699 to 1093 of the family's 3401-position model. Lineage: Eukaryota; Metazoa; Arthropoda; Insecta; Hemiptera; Mesoveliidae. The record is from RNAcentral.